This 1489-nucleotide ribosomal RNA is filed under the name Lactiplantibacillus plantarum. RNAcentral describes it as "bacterial SSU rRNA". It matches the Rfam family "Bacterial small subunit ribosomal RNA". The record is from RNAcentral. Lineage: Bacteria; Bacillati; Bacillota; Bacilli; Lactobacillales; Lactobacillaceae.
GACGAACGCUGGCGGCGUGCCUAAUACAUGCAAGUCGAACGAACUCUGGUAUUGAUUGGUGCUUGCAUCAUGAUUUACAUUUGAGUGAGUGGCGAACUGGUGAGUAACACGUGGGAAACCUGCCCAGAAGCGGGGGAUAACACCUGGAAACAGAUGCUAAUACCGCAUAACAACUUGGACCGCAUGGUCCGAGUUUGAAAGAUGGCUUCGGCUAUCACUUUUGGAUGGUCCCGCGGCGUAUUAGCUAGAUGGUGGGGUAACGGCUCACCAUGGCAAUGAUACGUAGCCGACCUGAGAGGGUAAUCGGCCACGUUGGGACUGAGACACGGCCCAAACUCCUACGGGAGGCAGCAGUAGGGAAUCUUCCACAAUGGACGAAAGUCUGAUGGAGCAACGCCGCGUGAGUGAAGAAGGGUUUCGGCUCGUAAAACUCUGUUGUUAAAGAAGAACAUAUCUGAGAGUAACUGUUCAGGUAUUGACGGUAUUUAACCAGAAAGCCACGGCUAACUACGUGCCAGCAGCCGCGGUAAUACGUAGGUGGCAAGCGUUGUCCGGAUUUAUUGGGCGUAAAGCGAGCGCAGGCGGUUUUUUAAGUCUGAUGUGAAAGCCUUCGGCUCAACCGAAGAAGUGCAUCGGAAACUGGGAAACUUGAGUGCAGAAGAGGACAGUGGAACUCCAUGUGUAGCGGUGAAAUGCGUAGAUAUAUGGAAGAACACCAGUGGCGAAGGCGGCUGUCUGGUCUGUAACUGACGCUGAGGCUCGAAAGUAUGGGUAGCAAACAGGAUUAGAUACCCUGGUAGUCCAUACCGUAAACGAUGAAUGCUAAGUGUUGGAGGGUUUCCGCCCUUCAGUGCUGCAGCUAACGCAUUAAGCAUUCCGCCUGGGGAGUACGGCCGCAAGGCUGAAACUCAAAGGAAUUGACGGGGGCCCGCACAAGCGGUGGAGCAUGUGGUUUAAUUCGAAGCUACGCGAAGAACCUUACCAGGUCUUGACAUACUAUGCAAAUCUAAGAGAUUAGACGUUCCCUUCGGGGACAUGGAUACAGGUGGUGCAUGGUUGUCGUCAGCUCGUGUCGUGAGAUGUUGGGUUAAGUCCCGUAACGAGCGCAACCCUUAUUAUCAGUUGCCAGCAUUAAGUUGGGCACUCUGGUGAGACUGCCGGUGACAAACCGGAGGAAGGUGGGGAUGACGUCAAAUCAUCAUGCCCCUUAUGACCUGGGCUACACACGUGCUACAAUGGAUGGUACAACGAGUUGCGAACUCGCGAGAGUAAGCUAAUCUCUUAAAGCCAUUCUCAGUUCGGAUUGUAGGCUGCAACUCGCCUACAUGAAGUCGGAAUCGCUAGUAAUCGCGGAUCAGCAUGCCGCGGUGAAUACGUUCCCGGGCCUUGUACACACCGCCCGUCACACCAUGAGAGUUUGUAACACCCAAAGUCGGUGGGGUAACCUUUUAGGAACCAGCCGCCUAAGGUGGGACAGAUGAUUAGGGUG